AUGCUUCGGGGAAGCUCAAGGAACUGGAACUGUUCGACGAUCUUAAGUCUGCUUUCUACGAAGCAGAGGACAUCUUGGAUGAUGUUGAGUAUUACCGUCUCGAGAAACAGAUACAAGAUGACUGUCCCAAGUCAGAGGUGGCCGCGCCUCGACGUGACAAGGAUCGCGUCAAGAAGCCCUUACGGCAAAAGGUUGGAUGAUAUUAAAAAUAACCUCAUUUUGCAAAUCAAGCUGAAAAUUAGAAUGUCCUUCAGUUUUUUAGUGCAGGUUUCUUGGAUCCGUAGAAAUAUUUUCUCAUUCAUCGAUUUCCUCACUUGCUAUUUUGUUUUGCAGGAGUGUGGCAUGUCAAAAACAGAGUUGAAGCAGAGCCUAGAAAAAAUAGAAAAGGUCAUAAAUGAUGCAUGUGGACUUUUUGAACAGAUGAACUUGCCAAACAAAAGUAACGCGAGCAAACCUGCCAACUCACGUGGUGCAGUCACUACGGCGAGGCCUCCAUCUGUGGUAAUCGGACGAGAUAAAGAUUGUGAUACCAUAGUAGCAAUGCUUCAUGAUAAGGAAGAUGCUCAACCAGACACCAAUAGGGCUCAUUGUCGUUAUUCCAUAAUCGGCAUUCAUGGCAUCGGUGGUUCUGGGAAAUCAACCCUUUCACAACUUGUUUGUGCCCAUGAGGAAAAGGAUGGUCAUUUCAACUUUGUUAUGUGGGUUCACGUUUCUCAGGAUUUUAGUGUGGAUACCAUUUUCAGGCAGAUGUCUGAGGCCGCUACCAGGACCCCGUGCCCUCAGUUCAAUAAUCUUGACGCCUUACAAACUAAUUUGGAGAAGAUACUGCAUGGAAAACGGUUCCUCUUGGUACUAGAUGAUGUUUGGUACAAUAAUAGAGAUGUGAGGCAGUAUGAGAAGCUGCAACAGAUACUUUCACCGCUGAACGCUGGAGAGGCAGGAAGCAAGGUCCUGGUGACUAGUCGAACUAAAGACGCAUUGAUAGCUCUGGGUGCUGCAGAGCAUAGAUGUAUUCCCAUGUCAGUCCUAGGUGAAGAUGUCUUCCUGAAAUUGUUCAAGCACUAUGCAUUUCACAACGUGUGCGUUGCUGCUGAUGACCGAAUAAGACUCGAAGACAUUGCGACUCACAUUGCAAAAAAGCUGAAGGGAUCACCUCUGGCGGCCAAAAUUGUUGGAGGGCAGCUACGUAUGAGGCCAAACAUUGAUUACUGGAGAAGUUCCCGAGAUGGAAACCACUUGGAUGACACCAUGGGAGCUCUGUGGUGGAGCUACCAACAUCUUGAUGAACAGGUCAGACGAUGCUUUGCUUACUGCAGUAUUUUUCCUCGAGGACGUUACUUGGAACGACAUGAGUUAGUUAAGCUUUGGGCUGCAGAAGGGUUUGCUAGAAGUAGCAAUGAAGGGAAGGAUUUGGAAGAUGUUUGCCAGGGAUACUUUGAUGAACUAGUGUCAGCCUCAUUUCUGCAAUCUGAAGUAAAGAAGUACUCCAGUAAAAAGGAUACUUAUAUAGUUCAUGAUCUGUUGCUUGAUUUAGCAGAUAAGGUUGCUGGAAGUGAUUGUUUCAGAAUAGAGAAUCAAUGGAAACAGAUAGGAGAUAGCUUGGUAAUGGAAGGAUGUGAAGAUGAAGUUCCCCCAGACGCUCGCCAUCUUUUUGUUCAGACCUAUGGUUCAGAAUUGAUAAAUGAGAAGAUAUGUAAAUUGGACAAGCUGCGCACUCUCAUCAUUGAUGGCGUAGAUGACAGAAAACAAGUUGAGGAGAAAGUCGUCAAGAGUCUGUUUGUGAGGCUAAAGAAGUUGCGGGUGCUUAUCAUACCUGUCUAUAAUGAUCAAGGUACAUUUUCAGUCCCAGAAUCUAUUGGUCAGCUAAGGCAUCUACGGUAUCUACGGCAUCUUCGUUUUGAGACUAGAUACGGCAAGAAGCUGGUUUUACCAAGCACUUUGAGCAAGCUUUACCACAUGCAGGUUCUAGAUUUUUUUGAUAUUCAAAACUUGGUGUUCAGCUCGCGUGAUGACAUGUUUAGCCUCAUCAACUUGCGACAUAUGGCCGGAAUGCCGUUUCUGAAAAUUCCAAGAGUUGGCAGGAUGACAUUGCUUCGAACGCUGCAAAAAAUUAUAGUGGGAAAGGAACAAGGGUGCGAGUUAAAGCAACUCGGCGGCCUAAACCAGCUUCGCGGCAAACUGAGUAUCGCGGGCCUCGAAAACGUCGAGACCCGGCAGGAAGCCCUUGAAGCCAAGCUAGGCGACAAAGAAGGGCUCACGGCAUUGGAACUGUGGUGGUGUCAUGAUACGAGAGGAGAGUUGAAGAAACAGGAGGCUCAGACAGAGGUGCUGGAGGGUCUCUGCCCACCCAAGCAUCUCGAAUCACUGUCGAUCUACUCCUACCAUGGCUUGAGAUACCCGAGCUGGAUGAUGGGCCAGCACGACGGCGGCCCAAAGUAUCUGAACGAACUCAGCCUCAACCAUUCCAGCACAGAGCUUGGGCGAGUGCUUGGUGGGUUCUGGCCUCACCUCCGUUCGUUCCACAUGUACCGUUGCAGCUCGUCCACCAUGCCGGAUCACAUGGAGCACCUGACGUCGCUCACGCGCCUGGACCUCAACUGGUGCCCGAACAUUCGGUCGCUUCCGACGCUGCCGCGGUCUCUUGAGUAUUUGAGUCUCUUCUUCUGCAAUGAGAUGCUGAUGAGUGCGUGCAGAAGAGCUGGAGACCCCAACUGGGAAAAGACUCAGCACAUUCCUUAUGUAUGUGUCAACGACUUAGAGGUAAUAAAUCACCAUAUCUUCCUUGGCAUUGUCAAGACUUGUCAUUCUUAA
Molecule: ribosomal RNA, 2811 nt
Filed under: Triticum aestivum (bread wheat)
Lineage: Eukaryota; Viridiplantae; Streptophyta; Magnoliopsida; Poales; Poaceae
Description: partial small subunit ribosomal RNA
Source: RNAcentral